This 20-nucleotide non-coding RNA is filed under the name Arabidopsis thaliana (thale cress). The record is from RNAcentral. RNAcentral also lists the same sequence under 2 other names. Lineage: Eukaryota; Viridiplantae; Streptophyta; Magnoliopsida; Brassicales; Brassicaceae.
GACCCGAAAGAUGGUGAACU